Sardina pilchardus (European sardine) is the source of this 266-nucleotide long non-coding RNA. RefSeq lists it as uncharacterized. The transcript is spliced from 3 exons. Lineage: Eukaryota; Metazoa; Chordata; Actinopteri; Clupeiformes; Clupeidae. The record is from RefSeq and is a predicted model, not a curated record.
CAAGUAGUGAUGAGCAUGCGCCUGCGCCGUCAAGAAGCUAGGCUGCUGCCAGCCCACGACGGUUCAUUACAUUAGAAGCAUGCACACAAGCUGAGAGAUGUCUGUGAGGCAACGAGACAAGAUGGUGUUUCCUUAAGAGCCGAUAACUGUCUGGAUGAGGAGCUGUCGGCCAAAGAAAGCAGUGUGUGUAGGCCAGAUCAAGACGGACAUGCAUGAGGCCAGCGGGGAGAAUCACCAAAGCAGCUGUUUUCACAGCUGUUCUUGAG